GCGAACGGGUGAGUAAUGUAUCGGAACGUGCCUAGUAGCGGGGGAUAACUACGCGAAAGCGUAGCUAAUACCAUACGCCCUUCGGGGAAAGCGGGGACCUUCGGGCCUCGCACUACCAGUAGCCGAUAUCGGAUUAGCUAGUUGGUGGGGUAACGGCUCACCGAGGCGACGAUCCGUAGCUGGUUUGAGAGGACGACCAGCCACACUGGGACUGAGACACGGCCCAGACUCCUACGGGGAGGGGGCAACGGUGGGGAAUUUUGGACAAUGGGGAAACCCUGAUCCAGCCAUCCCGCGUGUGCGAUGAAGGCCUUCAGGUUGUAAAGCACUUUUGGCAGGAAAGAAACGCUUGCAGGAUAAUACCCCGUGCAACUGACCAGUACCGCAGGGUAUCAGCACCGGCUAACUACGUGCCAGCAGCCGCGGUAAUACGUAGGGUGCAAGCGUUAAUCGGAAUUACUGGGCGUAAAGCGUGCGCAGGCGGUUCGGAAGAAGAUGUGAAAAUCCAGAAACUUACUUUGGAGGCUGCAUUUUCACUACCGACUAGAGUGUGUCAGAGGGAGGUGGAAUUCCGCGUGUAGCAGUGAAAUGCGUAGAUAUGCGGAGGAACACCGAUAGCGAAGGCAACCUCCUGGGAUAACACUGACGCUCAUGCACGAAAGCGUGGGGAGCAAACAGAGUUAGAUACCCUGGUAGUCCACGCCCUAAAGCAGUGUCAACUAGCUGUAGGGCCUUCGGGCCUUGGUAGCGCAACUAACGCGUGAAGUUGACCGCCUGGGGAGUACGGUCGCAAGAUUAAAACUCAAAGGAAUUGACGGGGACCCGCACAAGCGGUGGAUGAUGUGGAUUAAUUCGAUGCAACGCGAAAACCUUACCUACCCUUGACAUGUCUGAGUCGAAGAGAUUUGGGAGUGCUCGCAAGAGAACCGGAACACAGGUGCUGCAUGGCUGUCGUCAGCUCGUGUCAGAUGUUGGUUGAUGCAACGAGCGCAACCCUUGUCAUUGGAUUGCGAAGGGCACUCUAAUGAGACUGCCGACAAACCGGAGGAAGGUGGGGAUGACGUCAAGUCCUCAUGGCCCUUAUGGGUAGAACUUCACCCACGUCAUACAAUGGUCGGGACAGAGGGGGGUCGCCAACCCGCGAGGAGGAGCCAAUCCCAGAAACCCGAUCGUAGUCCGGAUCGCAGUCUGCAACUCGACUGCGUGAAGUCAGAAUCCGCUAAUGCGGAUGCUUCGCGGUGAAUACGUUCCCGGGUCUUGUACACACCGCCCGUCACACCAUGGGAGUGGGUUUACCAGAAGUAGUUAGCCUAACCGUAAAGGAGGGCAUUACCACGGUAGGAUUCAUGACUGGG
This 1355-nucleotide ribosomal RNA is filed under the name uncultured Bordetella sp. RNAcentral describes it as "partial 16S-23S ribosomal RNA intergenic spacer". It matches the Rfam family "Bacterial small subunit ribosomal RNA". The record is from RNAcentral. Lineage: Bacteria; Pseudomonadati; Pseudomonadota; Betaproteobacteria; Burkholderiales; Alcaligenaceae.